This 66-nucleotide transfer RNA is filed under the name Coptosoma bifarium. RNAcentral describes it as "tRNA-Ile". Lineage: Eukaryota; Metazoa; Arthropoda; Insecta; Hemiptera; Plataspidae. The record is from RNAcentral.
AAUAAGAUGCCUGAUAAAAAGGACUACUUUGAUAGAAUAGAUAAUGCAUAGUUUAUGCUCUUAUUA